UACAGAGGUGGCAAGCGUUGUUCGGAAUUACUGGGCGUAAAGGGCUCGUAGGCGGCCAACUAAGUCCGACGUGAAAUCCCAAAGCUUAACUUUGGAACUGCGUCGGAUACUGGAUGGCUUGAAUUCGGGAGAGGGAUGCAGAAUUCCAGGUGUAGCGGUGAAAUGCGUAGAUAUCUGGAGGAAUACCGGUGGCGAAGGCGGCAUCCUGGACCGACAUUGACGCUGAUGAGCGAAAGCUAGGGGAGCAAACGGG
RNAcentral lists this ribosomal RNA (253 nucleotides) under uncultured bacterium. RNAcentral describes it as "partial 16S ribosomal RNA". It matches the Rfam family "Bacterial small subunit ribosomal RNA", at positions 524 to 776 of the family's 1533-position model. The record is from RNAcentral.